Molecule: ribosomal RNA, 250 nt
Filed under: uncultured bacterium
Lineage: Bacteria
Description: partial 16S ribosomal RNA
Rfam family: Bacterial small subunit ribosomal RNA
Source: RNAcentral
UACGAAGGGUGCAAGCGUUAUUCGGAAUAACUGGGCGUAAAGGGCGUGUAGGCGGCCAAGCAAGUCAGUCGUUAAAGACCAUCGCAUACCGAUGGAAAGGCGAUUGAAACUGCUAGGCUAGUGGGUAGGAGAGAGUAGUGGAAUUCUUGGAGUAGCGGUAAAAUGCGUAGAUCUCAAGAGGAACACCGAUGGCGAAGGCAGCUACUUGGCCUAUACCAGACGCUGAGGCGCGAAAGCGUGGGGAGCAAAC